AGUCGAGCGAGCUUGCCUAGAUGAUUUUAGUGCUUGCACUAAAUGAAACUAGAUACAAGCGAGCGGCGGACGGGUGAGUAACACGUGGGUAACCUGCCCAAGAGACUGGGAUAACACCUGGAAACAGAUGCUAAUACCGGAUAACAAUACUAGACGCAUGUCUAGAGUUUGAAAGAUGGUUCUGCUAUCACUCUUGGAUGGACCUGCGGUGCAUUAGCUAGUUGGUAAGGUAACGGCUUACCAAGGCAAUGAUGCAUAGCCGAGUUGAGAGACUGAUCGGCCACAUUGGGACUGAGACACGGCCCAAACUCCUACGGGAGGCAGCAGUAGGGAAUCUUCCACAAUGGACGAAAGUCUGAUGGAGCAACGCCGCGUGAGUGAAGAAGGGUUUCGGCUCGUAAAGCUCUGUUGGUAGUGAAGAAAGAUAGAGGUAGUAACUGGCCUUUAUUUGACGGUAAUUACUUAGAAAGUCACGGCUAACUACGUGCCAGCAGCCGCGGUAAUACGUAGGUGGCAAGCGUUGUCCGGAUUUAUUGGGCGUAAAGCGAGUGCAGGCGGUUCAAUAAGUCUGAUGUGAAAGCCUUCGGCUCAACCGGAGAAUUGCAUCAGAAACUGUUGAACUUGAGUGCAGAAGAGGAGAGUGGAACUCCAUGUGUAGCGGUGGAAUGCGUAGAUAUAUGGAAGAACACCAGUGGCGAAGGCGGCUCUCUGGUCUGCAACUGACGCUGAGGCUCGAAAGCAUGGGUAGCGAACAG
Molecule: ribosomal RNA, 755 nt
Filed under: uncultured bacterium
Lineage: Bacteria
Description: bacterial SSU rRNA
Rfam family: Bacterial small subunit ribosomal RNA
Source: RNAcentral